AUUCUUGGUCAUUUUAGAGGAAGUAAAAGUCGUAACAAGGUUUCCGUAGGUGAACCUGCGGAGGGAUCAUUACUGAACGGCCUUCAACCUCGCAAACCUGUGGAAGCGAGACGUGCUUCGGCGCCCCGGCGUCGCUUUUAUGCCUCGAUCGGUCUCUGAGUCUGGACCGUGUACAAGUCUCCUGUUCAACAAAGGAUCUCUUGGCUCUCGCAUCGAUGAAGAACGCAGCGAAGCGCGAAAUGUAGUGUGAAUCGCAGAACAUUGUGAAUCAUCGAAUCUUUGAACGCACAUUGCGCCUCUAGUAACUUGGAGGCAUGCCUGUCUGAGCGUCAUUUAAAACCAUAAACCCAACUGGGUUUGUAUUGGGCGUCGUCCUCGGACGUAGCCUCAAAGUCAUCGGUCUUAUACGCGGACGAGCUCCAUUAGGACAGACCGUGUGUGGACUUUAAAUCUCUGACUUGACCUCAGAUCAGGUAGGACUACCGCCUGAACUUAAGCAUAUCAAUAAGCGGAGGAUCUUGGUCAUUUAGAAGAAGUAAGCAUAUCAAUAAGCGGAGGACCUUGGUCAUUUAGAGGAAGUAAGCAUAUCAAUAAGCGGAGGACCUUGG
RNAcentral lists this small RNA (608 nucleotides) under uncultured fungus. RNAcentral's name for it is "eukaryotic LSU rRNA". The stretch from base 181 to 332 matches the Rfam family "5.8S ribosomal RNA". Lineage: Eukaryota; Fungi. The record is from RNAcentral.